CCUACGGGUGGCUGCAGUGGGGAAUAUUGCACAAUGGGGGAAACCCUGAUGCAGCGACGCCGCGUGAGCGAUGAAGUUUCUCGGUAUGUUAAGCCUUAUCAGCAGGGAAGAAAAUGACGGUACCUGACUAAGAAGCCCCGGCUAACUACGUGCCAACAACCGUGGUAAUACGCAGGGGGCCAGCGUUAUCCGGAUUUACUGGGCGUAAAGGGAGCGUAGACGGUGGUGCAAGGCAGGUGUGAAAGCCCGGGGCUCAACCCCGGGACUGCAGUUGAAACUGUGCUGCUAGAGUGUGAGAGAGGCAGGCGGAAUGCGUGGUGUAGCGGUGAAAUGCAUAGAUAUUAAGAAGAACACCGGUGGCGAAGGCAGCCUGCUGG
RNAcentral lists this ribosomal RNA (377 nucleotides) under uncultured bacterium. Its description in RNAcentral is "partial 16S ribosomal RNA". It matches the Rfam family "Bacterial small subunit ribosomal RNA", at positions 338 to 732 of the family's 1533-position model. The record is from RNAcentral.